Molecule: ribosomal RNA, 274 nt
Filed under: uncultured bacterium
Lineage: Bacteria
Description: partial 16S ribosomal RNA
Rfam family: Bacterial small subunit ribosomal RNA
Source: RNAcentral
AUACGAAAGGUGCAAGCGUUGUUCGGAUUUACUGGGCGUAAAGAGAGUGUAGGUUGUUUAUUAAGUCGGAUGUGAAAUCCCGGGGCUCAACCUCGGAACUGCAUUCGAUACUGAUAGGCUAGAGUUUGGGAGGGGUAAGCGGAAUUCCGUGUGUAGCAGUGAAAUGCGUAGAUAUACGGAGGAACACCUGAGGCGAAGGCGGCUUACUGGACCAAUACUGACACUGAGACUCGAAAGCGUGGGUAGCAAACAGGAUUAGGAACCCUAGUAGUCC